GUCUGGCUGGCUCAGUCGGAAGAGCAUGCAACUCUUGAUCUCAGGGUCAUGAGUUCAAGUCCCAUGUUGGGUA
Molecule: non-coding RNA, 73 nt
Organism: Ailuropoda melanoleuca (giant panda)
Lineage: Eukaryota; Metazoa; Chordata; Mammalia; Carnivora; Ursidae
Source: Rfam